Pteronotus mesoamericanus is the source of this 132-nucleotide small nucleolar RNA. RefSeq annotates it as small nucleolar RNA SNORA41. The record is from RefSeq and is a predicted model, not a curated record. The transcript has a single exon. Lineage: Eukaryota; Metazoa; Chordata; Mammalia; Chiroptera; Mormoopidae.
UUCAACAGCUACUGGUCUGCCGCUCUGCUUGUGUUGGCAGUUUUGACAUUCCUCUGUGGGAAAAGAAUUGUUACAUGAUUAAACACCUCUUUCUUAGCAAAACAGAAAGUGGGCAUUAAGUGGCAAACACAA